RNAcentral lists this ribosomal RNA (465 nucleotides) under Vreelandella stevensii. Its description in RNAcentral is "partial 16S ribosomal RNA". It matches the Rfam family "Bacterial small subunit ribosomal RNA", at positions 338 to 795 of the family's 1533-position model. Lineage: Bacteria; Pseudomonadati; Pseudomonadota; Gammaproteobacteria; Oceanospirillales; Halomonadaceae. The record is from RNAcentral.
CCUACGGGAGGCAGCAGUGGGGAAUAUUGGACAAUGGGGGGUACCCUGAUCCAGCCAUGCCGCGUGUGUGAAGAAGGCCCUCGGGUUGUAAAGCACUUUCAGUGAGGAAGAACGCCUGGUGGUUAAUACCCAUCAGGAAAGACAUCACUCACAGAAGAAGCACCGGCUAACUCCGUGCCAGCAGCCGCGGUAAUACGGAGGGUGCGAGCGUUAAUCGGAAUUACUGGGCGUAAAGCGCGCGUAGGUGGCUUGAUAAGCCGGUUGUGAAAGCCCCGGGCUCAACCUGGGAACGGCAUCCGGAACUGUCAAGCUAGAGUGCAGGAGAGGAAGGUAGAAUUCCCGGUGUAGCGGUGAAAUGCGUAGAGAUCGGGAGGAAUACCAGUGGCGAAGGCGGCCUUCUGGACUGACACUGACACUGAGGUGCGAAAGCGUGGGUAGCAAACAGGAUUAGAUACCCUGGUAGUC